GGCAGUCGGAUCAAGUAGGAAACUCAGUCUUAGCUACCGGUGAGCUAUCAUUGAUCCGAGUGCACGUCCGGGAUGCCCAUGAGCUACUGGUGAUGAGUCCGCUGCUGGUUCAUGAAAACUCUGCUUCGAUUGCUCAAUAUUAGCCGAUUUAUUUUAGGCCAUCCAAUGAGCAUCUACUCCAUUCGAUCUCCGAUCAAGGCUUAAUCGGUGUCAAAAUAAAGCUUGAGGAGUGUAGAUCAUGAUCCCCAAGUCCGAUCGUCCAAAUCAGCCGCUGGUUGGCUAGGAUGUGGUCGGAAAGUCACGAAAACUCUAAACUUCUCUUCCUUUGAUCUCACUCAUUUGGCCACCAAAUGAUGCAAAAUUGGUCUCAAAAGAAAGUUGGGUUCAUGAGGAUUCCAAUGGUACCUAGAUCGUCGAUAAAGGCUGCUGGACGCCCGCUAGAACGACACCGGAAAAAUCUUGCCUUCAUGCGUGCCGUUUCUCUAUCCUCCCUUGCCUGCCACCGCUGCAGCUAUUUCUACCACCGUUCAUGUCCUCUGAAGUGUUGCCAGUCAGUGUGGAGCAGCAGAAAGGUUGCCG
This 579-nucleotide unclassified non-coding RNA is filed under the name Hevea brasiliensis (rubber tree). The record is from RNAcentral. Lineage: Eukaryota; Viridiplantae; Streptophyta; Magnoliopsida; Malpighiales; Euphorbiaceae.